AAAAAAACAAACCCUGGAUUUCCGUGUCCAACGUUUGACUGUCCGUCUUAUUUAAAAAAAUUUAAAAAAUAAGUCACGCAUAAAGUAUUAAUCAUGUUUUAUUAUCGAACAACAAUAAAAAUACUAAUUAUAAAAAAUUUCAUAUAAGACGGACACAGCCGAACGUUGGAUACGGAAACCCAGGUUUGUCUUUUUU
Oryza nivara is the source of this 196-nucleotide non-coding RNA. NCBI's taxonomy places the organism in Eukaryota, Viridiplantae, Streptophyta, Magnoliopsida, Poales, Poaceae. The record is from Rfam.